GGGGCUGUGGUUUAGGGGUAUAACGUCUUUUUCGCAUGGUAGCUGGCUACCCAUGGUCUAGAGAAGGUCUUGGGUUCGAUUCCCAACUGCUCCA
RNAcentral lists this transfer RNA (94 nucleotides) under Aureobasidium subglaciale EXF-2481. It matches the Rfam family "tRNA". Rfam says of the family: Transfer RNA (tRNA) molecules are approximately 80 nucleotides in length. Their secondary structure includes four short double-helical elements and three loops (D, anti-codon, and T loops). Further hydrogen bonds mediate the characteristic L-shaped molecular structure. tRNAs have two regions of fundamental functional importance: the anti-codon, which is responsible for specific mRNA codon recognition, and the 3' end, to which the tRNAs corresponding amino acid is attached (by aminoacyl-tRNA synthetases). tRNAs cope with the degeneracy of the genetic code in two manners: having more than one tRNA (with a specific anti-codon) for a particular amino acid; and 'wobble' base-pairing, i.e. permitting non-standard base-pairing at the 3rd anti-codon position. The record is from Rfam by way of RNAcentral. Lineage: Eukaryota; Fungi; Ascomycota; Dothideomycetes; Dothideales; Saccotheciaceae.